RNAcentral lists this ribosomal RNA (253 nucleotides) under uncultured bacterium. RNAcentral's name for it is "partial 16S ribosomal RNA". It matches the Rfam family "Bacterial small subunit ribosomal RNA", at positions 524 to 776 of the family's 1533-position model. The record is from RNAcentral.
UACGAAGGACCCGAGCGUUAUCCGGAUUUAUUGGGUUUAAAGGGUGCGUAGGCGGAUUUACAAGUCAGUGGUGAAAUCCCUCAGCUCAACUGAGGAACUGCCAUUGAAACUGUUUAUCUUGAGUACAUUUGAGGCGGGCGGAAUGUGUCAUGUAGAGGUGAAAUUCUUAGAUAUGACACAGAACACCGAUGGCGAAGGCAGCCUCCUGGGCCAACACUGACGCUCAUGCACGAAAGCGUGGGGAGCAAACAGG